AAAUAGUUUUAUUUUUAUUAAAAAAUUUAAUUAAAUAAAAUUUUACAUAUAAAAAUUUUUGGAUAAAAUUAAUUUUAAAGAAAUUAAAUUAAUGAUAUAAAAAUUAAUAAAUAGUAGUAAUUAGUAUUAUUUUUUUAAUUUAAGUUAAAAUAUAGUUAUUAUUUUUUAUAUUGAUUAAAUUUGUGCCAGCAAUCGCGGUUACACAAAUAUUAUAAUUAAAUUUUUUUUAAUAAAAGUAAAAAAAAUUAUAAAUUUUUAAACUAAUAAUAAAUUUUUAGGUGAAAUUAAAAAUUUUAUUAAACUUUUGAAAUAUUUAAUUUUUUGAAUCUAAAAAAAUUUAACUAAAAACUAGGAUUAGAUACCCUAUUAUUUAAAAAGUAAAAAAUAAAAAAUUGAGGUAGUAAAAAUUAAAUUUUUAAAACUUAAAAAAUUUGGCGGUAUUUUAUUCUGUUUAGAGGAAUUUGUUCUAUAAUCGAUAAUCCACGAAUAUCUUACUUUUUUUUGUUUUCAGUUUAUAUAUCGUUGUCAUCAGAAUAUUUUAAAAGAAUAAAAAAUUUUCUAAAUUUUUAAUUAAAAAUUAUGUCAAAUCAAGGUAUAAUUAAUAAAAAAGAAGAAAUGAAUUACAAUAAAUAUUAUUUAUUAUGAAUAAAAUAAUUAAAAUUAAAUUAAAAGGUGGAUUUAAAAGUAAAUUAAUUAAUAAAGAUUAAUUGAUUAUGGUUUUAAAAUAUGCACAUAUCGCCCGUCGCUCUCGUUCUUUUUAAAUGAGAUAAGUCGUAACAUAGUAGAUAUAUUGGAAAAUGUAUCUAGAAAUAC
Molecule: non-coding RNA, 813 nt
Filed under: Polypedilum unifascium
Lineage: Eukaryota; Metazoa; Arthropoda; Insecta; Diptera; Chironomidae
Source: RNAcentral